AAAAAUCAAACAAGGGAAGAAUCAGAAACGCGAAGAAAAGAAAAAACAAAAAUCAAAGGAAUCAGAAACACAACUCAGGAAUCAAAAACAGAACGAAUCAGAAAAUCAGCUUACUGAAUCAGCUAAGUACGUCAUAGUUCGUUUUUGUAUGUCAUAAAAUAUGAUUUUUGUACUAGUGAGUUAUUAAUAUAAUUAUUUUUUAUAACUAUAUUAAUAUUAUAUUUAUAAUUUGAAACAAAUAUGUUUUGUUUUAUCAAACUUAUACUAUU
This 269-nucleotide long non-coding RNA is filed under the name Vigna radiata. RNAcentral's name for it is "long non-coding RNA (VRAD_LNC005747)". Lineage: Eukaryota; Viridiplantae; Streptophyta; Magnoliopsida; Fabales; Fabaceae. The record is from RNAcentral.